RNAcentral lists this ribosomal RNA (504 nucleotides) under uncultured bacterium. RNAcentral describes it as "bacterial SSU rRNA". It matches the Rfam family "Bacterial small subunit ribosomal RNA", at positions 29 to 509 of the family's 1533-position model. The record is from RNAcentral.
AACGAACGCUAGCGGCGCGUUUUAAGCAUGCAAGUCGAACGGGGAUAUUAGGAGCAAUUCUGGUAUCCUAGUGGCAAACGGGUGAGUAACACGUGGAUAAUCUGCCCUCAAGACCUGGAUAGCCCGCAGAAAUGCGGAUUAAUACGGGAUGUGGUGCCUGAUCAUGAGGAUCGGGACAUUAAAGGUGGGGACCGCAAGGCCUGCCGCUUGGGGAGGAGUCCGCGGCCCAUUAGCUAGUUGGUGGGGUAAAGGCCUACCAAGGCGACGAUGGGUAGCCGGCCUGAGAGGGUGACCGGCCACAUUGGGACUGAGACACGGCCCAGACUCCUACGGGAGGCAGCAGCUAAGAAUCUUCCGCAAUGGGCGAAAGCCUGACGGAGCGACGCCGCGUGGACGAUGAAGGUCUUCGGAUUGUAAAGUCAUUUCGGGGAGGAAGAAUAAGCCGGCUCUAACAGAGACGGUGAUGACGACCCUCCCAGAAGAAGCUCCGGCUAACUACGUGCC